UACGUAGGGUGUGAGCGUUGUCCGGAAUUACUGGGCGUAAAGGGCGCGCAGGCUGUUAUGCGAGUCUGCUGUGAAAUGUACCGGCUCAACCGGUGCCUUGCGGCGGAUACUGCAUAGCUGGAGUACUGGAGAGGGAAGUGGAAUUCCCGGUGUAGCGGUGAAAUGCGUAGAUAUCAGGAGGAAUACCGAAGGCGAAGGCAGUCUUCCAAGCCGUUAUUGACGCUCAACUGCGAAGGUGUGGGUAUCAAACAGGAUUAGA
Molecule: ribosomal RNA, 259 nt
Filed under: uncultured prokaryote
Description: partial 16S ribosomal RNA
Rfam family: Bacterial small subunit ribosomal RNA
Source: RNAcentral